UACGGGGGGAGCAAGCGUUGUUCGGAUUUACUGGGCGUAAAGGGCGCGUAGGCGGUCGUGACAAGUCACUUGGGAAAUCUCCGGGCUUAACUCGGAACGGUCAAGUGAUACUGUCGGACUAGAGUACAGAAGGGGCAACUGGAAUUCUCGGUGUAGCGGUGAAAUGCGUAGAUAUCAUUUGGAACGCCAAUGGUGAAAACAGGUAGCUGGGGCUGUGCUGACACUGAGACACGAAAGCCAGGGGAGCGAACGGG
RNAcentral lists this ribosomal RNA (254 nucleotides) under uncultured bacterium. RNAcentral describes it as "partial 16S ribosomal RNA". It matches the Rfam family "Bacterial small subunit ribosomal RNA", at positions 524 to 776 of the family's 1533-position model. The record is from RNAcentral.